AAUGGCUCAUUAUAUAAGUUAUCGUUUAUUUGAUAGUGCCUUACUACUUGGAUAACCGUGGUAAUUCUAGAGCUAAUACAUGCUGAAAAUCCCGACUUCGGAAGGGAUGUGUUUAUUAGAUUAAAAACCAAUGCCCUCUGGGCUCCUUGGUGAUUCAUGAUAACUGUUCGAAUCGCAUGGCCUUGCGCCGGCGAUGGUUCAUUCAAAUUUCUUCCCUAUCAACUUUCGAUGUUUGGGUAUUGGCCAAACAUGGUCGCAACGGGUAACGGAGGGUUAGGGCUCGACCCCGGAGAAGGAGCCUGAGAAACGGCUACUACAUCCAAGGAAGGCAGCAGGCGCGCAAAUUACCCAAUCCCGAUCCGGGGAGGUAGUGACAAUAAAUACUGAUACAGGGCUCUUUUGGGUCUUGUAAUUGGAAUGAGUACAAUUUAAAUCCCUUAACGAGGAACAAUUGGAGGGCAAGUCUGGUGCCAGCAGCCGCGGUAAUUCCAGCUCCAAUAGCGUAUAUUAAAGUUGUUGUGGUUAAAAAGCUCGUAGUUGAACCUUGGGCCUGGCUGGCCGGUCCGCCUCACCGCGUGCACUGGUCCGGCCGGGCCUUUCCCUCUGCGGAACCCCAUGCCCUUCACUGGGUGUGGCGGGGAAGCAGGACUUUUACUUUGAAAAAAUUAGAGUGCUUCAGGCAGGCCUAUGCUCGAAUACAUUAGCAUGGAAUAAUGAAAUAGGACGCGCGGUUCUAUUUUGUUGGUUUCUGGGACCGCCGUAAUGGUUAAUAGGGACAGUCGGGGGCAUCAGUAUUCAAUCGUUAGAGGUGAAAUUCUUGGAUCGAUUGAAGACUAACUACUGCGAAAGCAUUUGCCAAGGAUGUUUUCAUUAAUCAGGAACGAAAGUUAGGGGAUCGAAGACGAUCAGAUACCGUCGUAGUCUUAACCAUAAACUAUGCCGACUAGGGAUCGGACGACGUUAAUUUUUGACGCGUUCGGCACCUUACGAGAAAU
Molecule: ribosomal RNA, 995 nt
Filed under: Hevansia novoguineensis
Lineage: Eukaryota; Fungi; Ascomycota; Sordariomycetes; Hypocreales; Cordycipitaceae
Description: SSU rRNA
Rfam family: Eukaryotic small subunit ribosomal RNA
Source: RNAcentral